This 477-nucleotide ribosomal RNA is filed under the name Pseudomonas sp. RNAcentral's name for it is "bacterial SSU rRNA". It matches the Rfam family "Bacterial small subunit ribosomal RNA", at positions 202 to 664 of the family's 1533-position model. Lineage: Bacteria; Pseudomonadati; Pseudomonadota; Gammaproteobacteria; Pseudomonadales; Pseudomonadaceae. The record is from RNAcentral.
GCAGGGGACCUUCGGGCCUUGCGCUAUCAGAUGAGCCUAGGUCGGAUUAGCUAGUUGGUGGGGUAAUGGCUCACCAAGGCGACGAUCCGUAACUGGUCUGAGAGGAUGAUCAGUCACACUGGAACUGAGACACGGUCCAGACUCCUACGGGAGGCAGCAGUGGGGAAUAUUGGACAAUGGGCGAAAGCCUGAUCCAGCCAUGCCGCGUGUGUGAAGAAGGUCUUCGGAUUGUAAAGCACUUUAAGUUGGGAGGAAGGGCAGUUACCUAAUACGUGAUUGUUUUGACGUUACCGACAGAAUAAGCACCGGCUAACUCUGUGCCAGCAGCCGCGGUAAUACAGAGGGUGCAAGCGUUAAUCGGAAUUACUGGGCGUAAAGCGCGCGUAGGUGGUUUGUUAAGUUGGAUGUGAAAUCCCCGGGCUCAACCUGGGAACUGCAUUCAAAACUGACUGACUAGAGUAUGGUAGAGGGUGGUGG